AUGGAAGUAACUCCUUCUAAGCUAAAUAUCACCACGAGACCGAUAGCGAACAAGUACCGUGAGGGAAAGUUGAAAAGCACUCUGAAUAGAGAGUCAAAAAGUACGUGAAACUGCCUAGGGCUCAAACCCGUUGAACUCGAUUAUCCGAGCAGGGAUAUUCACAUGCGGUUGGUCGGCGACGGCAGACCGCAGGGCACUUAUCCUCUGCUUCACUAGGACAUUGCGAUCCAUUACGAAACGGCCUUUGCUGGCAAUGAGCUCGACAUCCGGUCCCGACCAGUUGCUUGUCCCACCGUAGCGGCACUCAGUUCUGAAGGCCUGUACCGCGAGCCGGGGCUUAUUGGUGUGGUGUACCGUCGAGCGCGUGAUGGAUUUCCGCGAACACCGUCUUGGAUGCUUGCAUCCACCCACAGUCUGGGUGACGGAUCGGUCGAUCGGCAAUGAACAAAUCGAGGUACCUUCGGGACCCGUCUUGAAACACGAA
This 484-nucleotide ribosomal RNA is filed under the name Uranotaenia macfarlanei. Its description in RNAcentral is "eukaryotic LSU rRNA". It matches the Rfam family "Eukaryotic large subunit ribosomal RNA", at positions 289 to 665 of the family's 3401-position model. The record is from RNAcentral. Lineage: Eukaryota; Metazoa; Arthropoda; Insecta; Diptera; Culicidae.